This 360-nucleotide ribosomal RNA is filed under the name Sphingomonas sp. Its description in RNAcentral is "bacterial SSU rRNA". It matches the Rfam family "Bacterial small subunit ribosomal RNA", at positions 26 to 413 of the family's 1533-position model. Lineage: Bacteria; Pseudomonadati; Pseudomonadota; Alphaproteobacteria; Sphingomonadales; Sphingomonadaceae. The record is from RNAcentral.
AGAACGAACGCUGGCGGCAUGCCUAACACAUGCAAGUCGAACGAGACCUUCGGGUCUAGUGGCGCACGGGUGCGUAACGCGUGGGAAUCUGCCCUUAGGUUCGGAAUAACUCAGAGAAAUUUGAGCUAAUACCGGAUGAUGACGUAAGUCCAAAGAUUUAUCGCCUAGGGAUGAGCCCGCGUAGGAUUAGGUAGUUGGUGGGGUAAAGGCUCACCAAGCCGACGAUCCUUAGCUGGUCUGAGAGGAUGAUCAGCCACACUGGGACUGAGACWCGGCCCAGACUCCUACGGGAGGCWGCKGUGGGGAAUAUUGGACKAAUGGGCGAAAGCCUGAUCCAGCAAUGCCGCGUGAGUGAUGAAG